UAUGGCCAUAUCACUUCGAAACACCGGCUCGCGUACGUUCACAGAAGUUAAGCAACGUUGCGCCUGAUCAGUAUCUCGAUUGGUGACCGCUUGCGAAUACCAGGUUUCGUAA
Molecule: non-coding RNA, 112 nt
Organism: Acanthosepion pharaonis
Lineage: Eukaryota; Metazoa; Mollusca; Cephalopoda; Sepiida; Sepiidae
Source: the annotation of a GenBank genome assembly